GACGAACCCUUGCGGCGUGCUUAACACAUGCAAGUCGAACGGAAAGGCCCUGCUUUUGUGGGGUGCUCGAGUGGCGAACGGGUGAGUAACACGUGAGUAACCUGCCCUUGACUUUGGGAUAACUUCAGGAAACUGGGGCUAAUACCGGAUAGGAGCUCCUGCUGCAUGGUGGGGGUUGGAAAGUUUCGGCGGUUGGGGAUGGACUCGCGGCUUAUCAGCUUGUUGGUGGGGUAGUGGCUUACCAAGGCUUUGACGGGUAGCCGGCCUGAGAGGGUGACCGGCCACAUUGGGACUGAGAUACGGCCCAGACUCCUACGGGAGGCAGCAGUGGGGAAUAUUGCACAAUGGGCGGAAGCCUGAUGCAGCAACGCCGCGUGCGGGAUGACGGCCUUCGGGUUGUAAACCGCUUUCGCCUGUGACGAAGCGUGAGUGACGGUAAUGGGUAAAGAAGCACCGGCUAACUACGUGCCAGCAGCCGCGGUGAUACGUAGGGUGCGAGCGUUGUCCGGAUUUAUUGGGCGUAAAGGGCUCGUAGGUGGUUGAUCGCGUCGGAAGUGUAAUCUUGGGGCUUAACCCUGAGCGUGCUUUCGAUACGGGUUGACUUGAGGAAGGUAGGGGAGAAUGGAAUUCCUGGUGGAGCGGUGGAAUGCGCAGACAUCAGGAGGAACACCAGUGGCGAAGGCGGUUCUCUGGGCCUUUCCUGACGCUGAGGAGCGAAAGCGUGGGGAGCGAACAGGCUUAGAUACCCUGGUAGUCCACGCUGUAAACGGUGGGUACUAGGUGUGGGGUCCAUUCCACGGGUUCCGUGCCGUAGCUAACGCUUUAAGUACCCCGCCUGGGGAGUACGGCCGCAAGGCUAAAACUCAAAGGAAUCGACGGGGCCCCGCACAAGCGGCGGAGCAUGCGGAUUAAUUCGAUGCAACGCGUAGAACCUUACCUGGGUUUGACAUGGAUCGGGAGUGCUCAGAGAUGGGUGUGCCUCUUUUGGGGUCGGUUCACAGGUGGUGCAUGGCUGUCGUCAGCUCGUGUCGUGAGAUGUUGGGUUAAGUCCCGCAACGAGCGCAACCCUUGUUCACUGUUGCCAGCACGUUAUGGUGGGGACUCAGUGGAGACCGCCGGGGUCAACUCGGAGGAAGGUGGGGAUGACGUCAAGUCAUCAUGCCCCUUAUGUCCAGGGCUUCACGCAUGCUACAAUGGCUGGUACAGAGAGUGGCGAGCCUGUGAGGGUGAGCGAAUCUCGGAAAGCCGGUCUCAGUUCGGAUUGGGGUCUGCAACUCGACCUCAUGAAGUCGGAGUCGCUAGUAAUCGCAGAUCAGCAACGCUGCGGUGAAUACGUUCCCGGG
Molecule: ribosomal RNA, 1343 nt
Filed under: uncultured bacterium
Lineage: Bacteria
Description: 16S ribosomal RNA
Rfam family: Bacterial small subunit ribosomal RNA
Source: RNAcentral